RNAcentral lists this transfer RNA (71 nucleotides) under Marmota monax (woodchuck). RNAcentral describes it as "tRNA.Thr". The record is from RNAcentral. Lineage: Eukaryota; Metazoa; Chordata; Mammalia; Rodentia; Sciuridae.
GGGGUUGUGGCUCAGCGGUAGAGCACUUUCCUAGUACAUGCAAGAGCCUGGGUUCCAUCCUCAGCACCACA